CUACGGGAGGCUGCAGUCGAGAAUCUUUCGCAAUGGGCGCAAGCCUGACGAUGCGACGUCGCGUGAGGGAUGAAGGUCUUCGGAUCGUAAACCUUUGUCAAGAGGGAUGAAUGAUAAUCAGUUGAAUAAGCUGGUUAAGUGACAGUACCUCUAGAGGAAGCCACGGCAAACUCCGUGCCAGCAGCCGCGGUAAUACGGAGGUGGCAAGCGUUGUUCGGAUUUACUGGGUGUAAAGGGCAUGUAGGCGUUCUAAUAAGUCCUGGUUGAAAUACUUCGGCUUAACCGAAGAAUUGGUCGGGAAACUGUUAGGAUUGAGUUUGGGAGAGGAGAACGGAAUUCCCGGUGUAAGGGUGAAAUCUGUAGAUAUCGGGAAGAACACCAGUGGCGAAGGCGGUUCUCUGGCCCAAAACUGACGCUGAAAUGCGAAAGCUAGGGGAGCGAACAGGAUUAGAUACCCGUGUAGUC
Molecule: ribosomal RNA, 465 nt
Filed under: uncultured bacterium
Lineage: Bacteria
Description: partial 16S ribosomal RNA
Rfam family: Bacterial small subunit ribosomal RNA
Source: RNAcentral